Molecule: small nucleolar RNA, 131 nt
Organism: Arvicanthis niloticus (Nile rat)
Lineage: Eukaryota; Metazoa; Chordata; Mammalia; Rodentia; Muridae
Product: small nucleolar RNA SNORA17
Source: RefSeq, a predicted model, not a curated record
ACUGCCUUAAAGAAGCAUUGCAGGUGUUCUUGCUGUGUCACAUGUGUGUCAGAAGGUAGCAGAAAAGAGAUACACGGUGUCUGCUCAGUAUUUUGAUAUGGGAAUAUCUGAUUGAUUAGUAGCCUAUCAUU